GAUGAACGCUAGCGACAGGCUUAACACAUGCAAGUCGAGGGGCAGCGAGGGAGUGCUUGCACUUCUGUCGGCGACCGGCGCACGGGUGAGUAACACGUAUGCAACCUGCCCUUGUCAGGGGGAUAAGCGAGGGAAACCUCGUCUAAUACCGCAUAUAUGGUUUUGAGGCAUCUCUUAAUCAGGAAAGAAUUAUCGGACAAGGAUGGGCAUGCGGGACAUUAGGUAGUUGGGGGUGUAACGGACCACCAAGCCGACGAUGUCUAGGGGUUCUGAGAGGAAGGUCCCCCACACUGGUACUGAGACACGGACCAGACUCCUACGGGAGCAGCAGUGAGGAAUAUUGGUCAAUGGGCGAGAGCCUGAACCAGCCAAGUCGCGUGAGGGAAGACGGUACUAAGUAUUGUAAACCUCUUUUGUCAGGGAACAAAGAGACCACGUGUGGUAAGAUGAGUGUACCUGAAGAAAAAGCAUCGGCUAAACUCCGUGCCAGCAGCCG
This 496-nucleotide ribosomal RNA is filed under the name uncultured bacterium. RNAcentral's name for it is "bacterial SSU rRNA". It matches the Rfam family "Bacterial small subunit ribosomal RNA", at positions 28 to 517 of the family's 1533-position model. The record is from RNAcentral.